AUUGAUUGUAUUGCAUUGAGCAUCUCAGCCGGUAUAUAUUGAGUACAAGACUUGAGGAGCAAGACUCCUCCAGAUACAUAUAGCAGUCUACGAUACAUAUAUCUAUAACUAUCAAAUAUACUCUGAUACGUUGUGCCAGUCCGAGGUCAAAGAGGACUCAAAAUUUCAAAACUGAAGGCGUUGGCCGUUGGGCAUUUCACGAUUAAGCAGCGAAGUUUUGGCUGCGCGAUGUUGUUACGCUUUCUACUGGCUACCGCAGCCGGAGCUCGUUCACUACUUAUCCAAGAACCAGCGAAACACACAUUGCUUGUUAAUUUCGAAGCCGGAAGUUCGAACUAUCUGACAGCACUUUGCACGGCAACACAUUUUUUUCUUGUAAACUGCUCUCUUGUACGAAAAAUUGGAUGUCGCUACAAUGGAAUGGCAUCAAAUAGGCCAUUUGAUUAGAUGGAGCAAACAUGGCUAACGGGAGACCUUCAGACGUGGUGGCAGACGGGAGGUAUUAGAGGGCUCUUGGACAGCACCGUGGGCAAAGCUCCUGUGGCUCAGAGGCCCCCGAGCAAGUAGCAGCGGAGCGCCCUCGCGAGACCGGCGCCGGUGGCCGCGAGCCUGGGGAACUGCCCGGCGACGAGCGACAGCAUCGCGAGCCCCGCGCCGAGCAGCCAGAGCGCGAAGCCGGCGAGCACGUGCUCGGGGUUGCAGCGGGCGACGCGGCGCCACGUGAGCACGAGCGCGCCGAGCAUCAUCAAGGCGCGACUGGAGUCGCGCAGCUGCCGCGGCACGCCGCCGCCCCGGCGCCGGCGCCGGCGCCGGUCGCCCAUCCACGCCAGCAGGAGGUUCUCGCCGCCGCCGCCGUCGUUGGCGCCGCGGGGAUAGCCGCGCAUCUCCGGCGGCGCAGCCAUUCGGUCUCCCGGCGCUGCAGUGCAGGUGCGCAGCGUGUCAGUGUCAGUCUGGGGGCUCGGUGCUUCGGC
RNAcentral lists this long non-coding RNA (971 nucleotides) under Setaria italica (foxtail millet). Its description in RNAcentral is "long non-coding RNA (SITA_LNC003557)". The record is from RNAcentral. Lineage: Eukaryota; Viridiplantae; Streptophyta; Magnoliopsida; Poales; Poaceae.